Molecule: ribosomal RNA, 253 nt
Filed under: uncultured bacterium
Lineage: Bacteria
Description: partial 16S ribosomal RNA
Rfam family: Bacterial small subunit ribosomal RNA
Source: RNAcentral
UACGAAGGGUGCAAACGUUGCUCGGAAUCACUGGGCAUAAAGCGCUCGUAGGCGGCCAACUAAGUCAGACGUGAAAUCCCUCGGCUUAACCGGGGGACUGCGUCUGAUACUGGAUGGCUUGAAUCCGGGAGAGGGAUGCGGAAUUCCAGGUGUAGCGGUGAAAUGCGUAGAUAUCUGGAGGAACACCGGUGGCGAAGGCGGCAUCCUGGACCGGCAUUGACGCUGAGGAGCGAAAGCCAGGGGAGCAAACGGG